This 451-nucleotide ribosomal RNA is filed under the name uncultured Fibrobacter sp. RNAcentral's name for it is "partial 16S ribosomal RNA". It matches the Rfam family "Bacterial small subunit ribosomal RNA", at positions 341 to 792 of the family's 1533-position model. Lineage: Bacteria; Pseudomonadati; Fibrobacterota; Fibrobacteria; Fibrobacterales; Fibrobacteraceae. The record is from RNAcentral.
ACGGAAGGCAGCAGUAGGGAAUAUUGCACAAUGGGGGGAACCCUGAUGCAGCAACGCCACGUGUGGGAAGAAGCAUUUCGGUGUGUAAACCACUGUCGUGAGGUAAUAAUUCUCGGUCUCGGCCGAGUUGAAUGUACCUCGAAAGGAAGCACCGGCAAACUUCGUGCCAGCAGCCGCGGUAAUCCGAGGGGUGCAAGCGUUGUUCGGAAUCACUGGGCGUAAAGGGAGCGUAGGCGGAGAAGCAAGCAGUCUGUACAAUACCGGGGCCCAACCACGGACCUGCAGAAUAGACUGGGUCUCUUGGAUAGUUCAGGGGCAGGCGGAAUUCCUGGUGUAGCGGUGGAAUGCGUAGAGAUCAGGAAGAACACCGAUGGCGAAGGCAGCCUGCUGGGGACUCAGCGACGCUGAGGCUCGAAAGUGCGGGUAGCAAACAGGAUUAGAUACCCUGGUA